GAGGGCGAGGAGAGGAGGAA
Molecule: microRNA, 20 nt
Filed under: Apis mellifera (honey bee)
Lineage: Eukaryota; Metazoa; Arthropoda; Insecta; Hymenoptera; Apidae
Description: ame-miR-9894-3p
Source: miRBase by way of RNAcentral